This 360-nucleotide long non-coding RNA is filed under the name Rosa chinensis. RNAcentral describes it as "sRNA RchiOBHm_Chr1g0358881". The record is from RNAcentral. Lineage: Eukaryota; Viridiplantae; Streptophyta; Magnoliopsida; Rosales; Rosaceae.
CCGACAAGCCGCCUAGCGCCCAACAGCCCAACCGCCCAGGCGCCUAGUGGCCCGCCUAGGCCGCCUCGGCGGACGCCCAACCCCAGCCCGCCCAACUCCUCCGAUUUAGCACUACUCGAGUCGGAGAGCUGCCGCCCAGCCCCUAGGAGUCGCCUAAGCGGCCUGGGCGGCCGAGUUUUAGAACACUGGUCCGCCGUCACUGUUCACGUCUUCGAUCUCCUUCUAGGUUGCUCCACCGGCGCAACUGACACCAGAGGUCGACGAAGGAGAGCUAGGCGAGUCGAUCUAGGCCGGGUCCGCCGUUGUAGGUCACCAGAAAACGAAGAUGGAUUCGGGUCGGGUCGAGCGCAACCCGUAGGG